CCUUUGGAGCGUUAUAUCAAACGAAAGUAGUCUUAGUAAAAACUAAUACAAAAUCGGACGUGUUGAAUUAGGAA
This 74-nucleotide non-coding RNA is filed under the name unclassified sequences. RNAcentral describes it as "RAGATH-18 RNA". It matches the Rfam family "RAGATH-18 RNA". From Rfam's summary of the family: Actinobacteria, Firmicutes, Fusobacteria, Thermotogae (1 example). Nearby to self-cleaving ribozyme genes The record is from Rfam by way of RNAcentral.